This is a non-coding RNA of Podarcis lilfordi (Lilford's wall lizard), 72 nucleotides long. Lineage: Eukaryota; Metazoa; Chordata; Lepidosauria; Squamata; Lacertidae. The record is from the annotation of a GenBank genome assembly.
UGAUAGCUCAGUCAACAGAGCAGGAUAUUCUUAAUCUCAAGGUCAUGGGUUCAAGCCCCUUGUUGGGCAAAA